RNAcentral lists this ribosomal RNA (372 nucleotides) under uncultured organism. RNAcentral describes it as "bacterial SSU rRNA". It matches the Rfam family "Bacterial small subunit ribosomal RNA", at positions 526 to 896 of the family's 1533-position model. The record is from RNAcentral.
CGUAGGGGGCGAGCGUUGUCCGGAUUCAUUGGGCGUAAAGCGCGCGCAGGCGGCUUCGUAAGUCGGCCGUGAAAUCUCCAGGCUCAACUUGGAGGGGUCGGGCGAGACUGCGGAGCUAGAGGCAGGUAGAGGGCGGUGGAAUUCCGGGUGUAGUGGUGGAAUGCGUAGAGAUCCGGAGGAACACCAGUGGCGAAGGCGGCCGCCUGGGCCUGACCUGACGCUGAGGCGCGAAAGCGUGGGGAGCGAUCCGGAUUAGAUACCCGGGUAGUCCACGCCGUAAACGAUGGGCACUAGGUGUCGGGGGUAUCGACCCCCCCGGUGCCGUCGCUAACGCAGUAAGUGCCCCGCCUGGGGAGUACGGCCGCAAGGCUA